RNAcentral lists this ribosomal RNA (735 nucleotides) under uncultured marine bacterium. Its description in RNAcentral is "bacterial SSU rRNA". It matches the Rfam family "Bacterial small subunit ribosomal RNA", at positions 14 to 794 of the family's 1533-position model. The record is from RNAcentral.
UGAUCCUGGCUCAGAACGUACGCUGGCGGCACGCCUAACACAUGCAAGUCGAACGAAGUAGCAAUACUUAGUGGCAGACGGGUGAGUAACAUGUGGGUAUCUACCCUUUGGCCUGGAAUAACACGAGGAAACUCGUGCUAAUACCGGAUAAGUCUUUACGGAGAAAGCUUUAUGCACCAUUGGAUGAGCCCGCACUUGAUUAGUUUGUUGGUAGGGUAAUGGCCUACCAAGACUAUGAUCAAUAGCUGAUUUGAGAGGAUGAUCAGCCACAUUGGGACUGAGACACGGCCCAAACUCCUACGGGAGGCAGCAGUGGGGAAUCUUGCACAAUGGAGGAAACUCUGAUGCAGCGAUGCCGCGUGAGUGAAGAAGGCCCUUGGGUUGUAAAGCUCUUUCGUCGGGGAAGAAAAUGACUGUACCCGAAUAAGAAGGUCCGGCUAACUUCGUGCCAGCAGCCGCGGUAAUACGAAGGGACCUAGCGUAGUUCGGAAUUACUGGGCUUAAAGAGUUCGUAGGUGGUUGAAAAAGUUAGUGGUGAAAUCCCAGAGCUUAACUCUGGAACUGCCAUUAAAACUUUUCAGCUAGAGUAUGAUAGAGGAAAGCAGAAUUUCUAGUGUAGAGGUGAAAUUCGUAGAUAUUAGAAAGAAUACCAAUUGCGAAGGCAGCUUUCUGGAUCAUUACUGACACUGAGGAACGAAAGCAUGGGUAGCGAAGAGGAUUAGAUACCCUCGUAGU